Molecule: ribosomal RNA, 338 nt
Filed under: uncultured bacterium
Lineage: Bacteria
Description: bacterial SSU rRNA
Rfam family: Bacterial small subunit ribosomal RNA
Source: RNAcentral
AGAAUAAACGCUGGCGGCGUGCCUAACACAUGCAAGUCGAACGAGAAAGCCUUAAUCUUCGGAUGGGCGAGUAAAGUGGCGCACGGGUGAGUAACGCGUAGGUAACCUACCCCCGGGACCGGGAUAACAGUGCGAAAGUGCUGCUAAUACCGGAUACGAUUGUGGAGCGGGAGCUUUGCGAUGAAAGUCGGCCUCUCGCAGAAGCCGAUGUUCGGGGAUGGGCCUGCGUCCUAUCAGCUGGUUGGUAGGGUAACGGCCUACCAAGGCGACGACGGGUAGCUGGUCUGAGAGGAUGAUCAGCCACACUGGCACUGGAACACGGGCCAGACUCCUACGGG